UUCUCCAUAAGUUGCUGUCAAAUUUGAAGAGUCACCAUAGCUAGGGUUUCUUCACUUUCUCAAGCUCAUAGUAAGUGCAUCCUAGCCCCGUUUUUAAUGNNNNNNNNNNNNNNNNNNNNNNNNNNNNNNNNNNNNNNNNNNNNNNNNNNNNNNNNNNNNNNNNNNNNNNNNNNNNNNNNNNNNNNNNNNNNNNNNNNNNGAAAAAUACCCAUAGGUGAAAUGUGUUUAUUUUGCUGUUUUAUGGUGGAAUAUGAAGCUAGAAAUUAUGUUAAACAACUUUUGCUAAGUGAUUUUAAGCAAAAACGAGUAAAUCGACAUAAUCGGUAAAAAAAUAUUUAUUGUUCAUAAGUGUAUGUUAGAGUGAGAAUUUGAUGUUGCCAUAGAAGGGAUAAGUGUUCAGAAUGUUGUAAAACAUAAGAUAAGGUGUGAAAUAUAAUUUUCGAGCUUGGGGACAAAAAUGUAAUUAUGCAAAAGUUUAGGGGCAAAAUCGUAAUUUUAUAAAAGUUGAGUCGAAGCUUGUUUUAAUAAAUGUGAAUAUUAAACAAGCUCAAUUUGCUGUUAUAGAUCAAGAAAGACGAGAAAUCAACCUUAAUCGGGGAAAAGAGAAGAUUGAGGAUUAAAUUGCAAAAUCUUUACAUUUUGUAUCGAGGUAAGUUGUAUGUAAUUAAUAUAUUGUUAUAAUUAUUUUCGUUAUAUUUUGUGACAAUAUACGUGAAAGGGUUGAUAUUAUAAUGUGUUUUGAAUGAAUUGUAAAUAUAUUUGGAAAGUAAGAAUCUUUGUGGAAAUGUCAUAAUGGUAAAGAUUUGAAUGAGGUAUCGAUGAACACGUGUGUAGUACUGUGUGAAGGCUACUACGUGCAUCGAUAAGUAAUGGUCACAUGAGUAGUACUAAGUGAAGGCUACUAUGUGUACCAAGAAGCUUUGAGCACGUGUGUAGUACUGUGUGAAUGUUACUACGUGUCUCGAUAAACUACGGUUACAUGUGUAGUACUAAGUGAAGGCUACUAUGUGUACCAAGAAGCUUUGAUCACGUGUGUAGUACUGUGUGAAUGUUACUACGUGUCUCGAUAAACUACGGUUACAUGUGUAGUACUAAGUGAAGGCUACUAUGUGUACCAAGAAGCUUUGAUCACGUGUGUAGUACUGUGUGAAGGCUACUACGUGAGCCGUAAAAAUUGAUCACGUGUGUAGUACUAUGUGAAGGCUACUACGUGAACUGUAAAACUGAUCACGUGUGCAGUACUAUGUGAAGGCUACUACGUGUAUCGAAUGAUAAAAAUAAUAUGAGUAGUACUAUGUGAAAAGCUCCGAAUAUUAUUUUAUAUAUACCGUCAUGAUGAUGAAAUAUGAGCAUAUGAUCGGAAUGUAAUAAGUUGUGAAAAGUGAUUGACGUGAUGAAAUUUGCGUUGUGUUAUAAAAUAAAUGGUUAUAGUGCUAUGCGAAUAAGGAAUGUUGGAAUAGAACAGAUUUGGACAUUGACAGUGAUGUUAGUUUGAAAAAUCACCAAAAACUAUAGAAAUUGAGUUAGAGUUUUAAUAAUAUAUGAAAUUGAAGCUGAAUGAGUCUAUUUUCAUAUGGAAGAAACAAAGUAAGCAAAGGAGUUUUAUAUUUGGAGAUAUUUAAACUUUAUUGAGACAGGGUUGAAUUGAUUUCAAAAUCCCCUAUUUCAACUUUGAAAAAUCACAAAAAAUUGUAAAAAAUAAUUAGGGCUUGAAAUUUAUAUUAUUGAAUUCCUUAAUGAGUCUAUUUUUAAGAGAAAGAAACAAGAAUAUUGUUUGAAUUUUGUACAAAGAGUUAAAUAAAUUUUAGUGAAGAGAGGUCAGAAGUGUUAAACAGUGAAACAGGGGAACAUUUAGAGAAUAAACUGUACUAAUUGGCUAAACAAAAAAUUCUGAAACUUUUAUGGUAAAAAGGUAUAUGAGUCUAGUUUCAUGGAAAAUUUACGGAUCUUAAUUUGGAUGUCCGUAGCUCCGGAUAAAAAUAAUUUACCGACUGUGACGCAGAAAAACAGUUUGCUGGAAGUUGACUAAAUGAUAGAUUUGUGUGUGAUAGAUAUUAUAUAAUAUAUGAUAUUAUCUUAGAAAUUUAUUUAUCGAUUACAUACAUACUUACUAAGCUGUAAGCUUACUCCUCUUUAUUUUUCCUUUGUUUUAUAGUGAUUUUAAUCAACUCGGGAAUUGGACGGAGUCAUAUCAUCAUCAUCCUCACUAUCAUCAUCAACUUUUGGGUAUUUUGCAAUCAAUACUUUUGAAAAAUGGCAUGUAUAGAUGACUUAAUGUAAUGUAGUAUAAACUUAUAUAUAUGUAUAAAAUAUAGUUUGGUUUAAAAUGUUGGUAUCUAUAAUUGAUGAAUUAUUUCCU
This 2359-nucleotide long non-coding RNA is filed under the name Gossypium raimondii (Peruvian cotton). RNAcentral's name for it is "long non-coding RNA (GRAI_LNC002536)". The record is from RNAcentral. Lineage: Eukaryota; Viridiplantae; Streptophyta; Magnoliopsida; Malvales; Malvaceae.